RNAcentral lists this ribosomal RNA (400 nucleotides) under uncultured bacterium. RNAcentral's name for it is "bacterial SSU rRNA". It matches the Rfam family "Bacterial small subunit ribosomal RNA", at positions 355 to 752 of the family's 1533-position model. The record is from RNAcentral.
UAAGGAAUAUUGGUCAAUGGAGGCAACUCUGAACCAGCCAUCCCGCGUGAAGGAUGAAGGGGCUAUGCCUUGUAAACUUCUUUUGUCUGGGACGAAAAAGCCCCGUUUACGGGGAACUGACGGUACCAGAAGAAUAAGCACCGGCUAACUCCGUGCCAGCAGCCGCGGUAAUACGGAGGGUGCAAGCGUUAUCCGGAAUCACUGGGUUUAAAGGGUGCGUAGGCGGCUUAGUAAGUCAGUGGUGAAAGGCUGUGGCUUAACCAUGGGAUUGCCAUUGAUACUGCUGAGCUUGAAUGAGGUUGAGGUUAGCGGAAUGUGACAUGUAGCGGUGAAAUGCUUAGAUAUGUCAUGGAACACCGAUUGCGAAGGCAGCUAACUGGACCUUAAUUGACGCUGAGGC